This is a long non-coding RNA of Arabidopsis lyrata subsp. lyrata, 1546 nucleotides long. RefSeq lists it as uncharacterized. Lineage: Eukaryota; Viridiplantae; Streptophyta; Magnoliopsida; Brassicales; Brassicaceae. The record is from RefSeq and is a predicted model, not a curated record. The transcript is spliced from 6 exons.
UAGCGUUUGCCAAAGUGUAAACGCUAUGUUUGGUUGGUCAAAUUUUAGUUUUGAAAAUGCAUUUUAGAAAUGUAGAAUAUAUAACAUUUGUAUAUUUUGAAACGCUAUGCAUUGUUGAUGCGGAAAAAAAUAUUUUUUUUGCCCUCUAAAUACUUAGCAAAAAAGAAGCGGCUAACAAAUUUUCAUUCUCCCUCUCAUUCCAUUGUUUCAUUUCUCAAGAUUUUUUCUCACUAUUUGUUCAUCUCUCGAUACUCAUCGAAGAAAUUCCUUGCCCUUUCGUCACCAAUUCGCCGAACUCAAAACCAUAUAUGCUUCUCCUCUGACGAAAUUUUUAAUCCAGAUGCAAAACCAGAUUAGUCAUCUUCCUCUUCUCCACCCAAAAAAACCCUAGUUACAAGCCCUCUUUAGUAAAUACAGAAAAAACGAGGACAAAUAAAUUCUCAAAUCAUGUCGUUGCUCUCCCUUUCACUCUCCAUUGCAAAAUCAAACCUUAGCCACUGUCAAAGCAAGCGAGACAUGGGCUCACUCAAGACAAAACUUCAUCUCUCUUGCUUCGCCCUCUCAUCUUUGUGAGAGAAAGGGAAAGUCUCUGUAAUUAUUUUUCUCAUCCAUCAAUUCUCUUUGGUAAGACUCGUUUCUCUCAGAUCUGUGACGCUUCAUAAUCAUUGUUUUUCUUGUUUCUUCAAUUUGUUUUCAGUUUCUUAGAUCUCAAAGCAUAUUCACAGUGGAAGGAAGAGGCGGCGGAGAUGGUAGUGACGUGGUUCAACUGUUGCUUAUGGUACAAAGUGAGUGUACGAAGAGAGCGAUGAAGAAAGCACAUACGUUAAUCUAAUCUAGAUUAAUCUUGAACUCUCAGACGCUGUUCAGCGAUGGUGGCUGUGGAGCCGAUUUCACUAUUGAGUGGAGGUCCUUAGCAUGCAGACUUAAAUUUGAGACUGAUAUGCAAUCUGGAGCAAGAUACAAGUACGAGGUUCACACAUGGAAUUCGUAUUUUUGGGGAGAUGACCUGAAUGUGUUGUUGGACCAACCAAAGAGGUUUGAUUUUUCUAUAAACAGUAGGAUUAACAUUGAAGUGUUAGUUUGUUGCAGGUUGAAGCUGAAUAUUGUUGGUGUCGGAUCCCGCACCAGAGGUUCGGGACCAACCAAAGAUUGCCACGUAGUUGGGUUAACGGCCCAUAAGGGAUAAAACCCGUUAGACCCGCAAGUCAAAGGAACAUUCGAAGUGGUUAUCACUAUAAGAAGAAUCCGAAGUGACUGCACCUCGACACAAUUCCGGAGACGAAGUCACGGUUAAGUUGGUCCAAGGACAUUUGGGCCAAAAGGCGAGGCCCAUGAAGAUCGGAGUCAACACAAAUUCGAAUGUUGAGCAUUAAAGUCAAAGACCAAAACGGUCACAUUUAAGAGAGAAUAAUUGUACUUAAUUAGCCAAUUAAAUGUCAUUUUUCUAUGUAUAAAUAUAAAGGUCAAUGGCCAUAUAAAGGGGAUUUUCUUCUCAAGUAAGAAAUACUAUAGCAAUUUUUGUAGCAAUUCAUAAGCUUUUUGCAUA